RNAcentral lists this transfer RNA (76 nucleotides) under Gordonia phage Sixama. Its description in RNAcentral is "tRNA-Asp". It matches the Rfam family "tRNA". From Rfam's summary of the family: Transfer RNA (tRNA) molecules are approximately 80 nucleotides in length. Their secondary structure includes four short double-helical elements and three loops (D, anti-codon, and T loops). The record is from RNAcentral. Lineage: Duplodnaviria; Heunggongvirae; Uroviricota; Caudoviricetes.
GCCGGUAUGGUCCAGUCUGGAGUGGACGCCGCCCUGUCACGGCGGAGAUCGCGGGUUCAAAUCCCGUUACUGGCGC